GACAGAGGGUGCAAACGUUGCUCGGAAUCACUGGGCGUAAAGGGCGCGUAGGCGGCCUUCUAAGUCGAACGUGAAAUCCCUGGGCUCAACCCAGGAACUGCGUCCGAUACUGGAAGGCUUGAAUCCGGGAGAGGGAUGCGGAAUUCCGGGUGUAGCGGUGGAAUGCGUAGAGAUCCGGAAGAACACCGGUGGCGAAGGCGGUCUGCUGGGCAGUAGCUGACACUGAGGCGCGACAGCGUGGGGAGCAAACAGG
RNAcentral lists this ribosomal RNA (253 nucleotides) under uncultured bacterium. RNAcentral's name for it is "partial 16S ribosomal RNA". It matches the Rfam family "Bacterial small subunit ribosomal RNA", at positions 524 to 776 of the family's 1533-position model. The record is from RNAcentral.